UUAAUGUCGCUCGGGCUGUCAUCGCCAAAAUCGAAUAACCAAAAACAAAAAAAGCAAAAAGAAAGUGCGGAAAAAAGGCCAAGUAGUUGUGGAAAUGGUACGACGAAUGGCAGGCAAAACCAUGGCAGGAAAGCCAAGGCCUGACGAAAAAAUAUGCACAGCAUCCUUGACGUUUGUUCGCUCGUUGACGCCCAAGCUGCUGCCGCCGCCUGGACAGUUGAUGUUGCCGCUGUUCGGGCCCCUUCGUCACCCCCCUUUCCUCUUACUCGUUUGGCCAUAGCUGCCACAACCAUCAGCGGUUCAGUCCCCAGAGCUGUCGCUGUCGCUGUGGUUCAGGCUUAGGCUGUUGCUUGUAUCCAAAGAAGGGGUCACUCGAAAAAUAUUCAAACCAAAAUAUAUGCUGACAUUUCCGGUGACGGUUUACUCUUUUUACUAGCUUAUCAGUUUUUCUGAAGCUUUCAAAAUCAGUUUUUCCGCAGUGUAAAUUCUGCCCCAUAGUGGUGGCUGGCAGAGAUGUGUUCAUGUCUAAUGUCGAAAUGGUUAGUUUCACUUUUUGCGUCAGAAAUCGUAAAAUUGGAUAUAAAAUUUUACGAGCGUGUGGCUGGGCCUCGUCUCAGAUCUUGGGGCUCGUCCCUCUUGGACUCUUGAGUGUUCGGUUAGCUCUCUCGUCCUGCGUGGGCAUUCAGCCUGGACCUACACACCAACACACACACGUACAGGCUCGUCAGAGAAUUUGUCCUGGCAAUGGUCGCCUGUUUUUGGUCACGGCACAAAUUUUGACGCUUGACUAGCAAUGGCAGCUAAAAAUGGAGCCAAAAUUGUAGCUGAAGCUGUAGCAGUAUCUUUAGCCUGUAGAUGUAUCUGUAUCUGUGGCUGAUGCUGAAGUGGCAGCCGAAGACGAAAAGCGACGACAGCGGCACUUUGUUUGUGGUAAUAAAUCAUUUAUGCAAGUUGCUGUGGCCGUUUGCGUUGAAACACAAAUUUAACUGAAAUUUGUUUAGCAAUUUGGCUAGUUAAAAAUUUAAGAGCCACUUGGUCGACUCCCCAUCUUGGUCCAUAGUGCCUGUUGGCCUGUUUGUCUUUUGUUCGAACUUUGAAAUGUUGCAUUUAAUGCCGUAACGCCAUAAUAUGCAAUAAUCUUGGCCCCGGAACCAGCACCAGCACCGGCCCCAGCGCACACACUGAGCUGAGCACUCGUCUGGAAAGGAAGCCCGGCGGGAUUGCAGGAGCGUGCUCCGGCAGGAUACAUAUGUCUAUAUGUAUAUUCAUGAGCAAUAUAUUUUAUAAGCAUCAUUGUGCAUAUUGGAUAAAAAAUAAGCUCCAAAUACAAAAAUAUUCCCUUACUAGGAGCAGGCAGGAGGCAAGUAAAAGCAAUCAGACGCCUAGCCAGCCAGUUUUCAUCCUUUUUGCCACUGUCCCUGAACCCAUUCCUCUUUCGAUAUCCUUCUAUCAGAACUUUACCAUUGUGGGAAAUGCUCGGCAGAGCCUCAAACAUCCUUUUUCCAGCUGUGAGCACCCACUACCAAUACAAUACCCCCGGAAGACAGGGGAAGGAUGUGCCGAGUUUGGAAUGUGUUUGUAAGUCUAUUGUAACAGCAAUAUAAGUGCAAGGAUGUAGGGGUGUCUAAGAGCUCCAGAAGCUGAAGUAAAAGCAGAAGCAGGAGCGGCACCACCAGCACCAGCAGCAACAAAAUAUUUACAAAAUUGUAAUGGAAUAUCAACAGAUCAUAAAAUCAUGCACAUUUUAUUUGUCGUAGUCGUAAAAUGUAAAAAAAAUACAAACUUACACAGACACUCUCGCAAACACAUACAUAUAUCGUCCCACACUGCAAAAUCCUGCCUGGGAAUGGAUAAAGUAUAUUGAAAAUAAAA
Molecule: long non-coding RNA, 1872 nt
Organism: Drosophila ananassae
Lineage: Eukaryota; Metazoa; Arthropoda; Insecta; Diptera; Drosophilidae
Exons: 2
Source: RefSeq, a predicted model, not a curated record